Molecule: ribosomal RNA, 496 nt
Filed under: uncultured bacterium
Lineage: Bacteria
Description: bacterial SSU rRNA
Rfam family: Bacterial small subunit ribosomal RNA
Source: RNAcentral
AUUGAACGCUGGCGGCAUGCCUUACACAUGCAAGUCGAACGGUAACGGGCCUUCGGGUGCCGACGAGUGGCGAACGGGUGAGUAAUGCAUCGGAACGUACCUUUCAGUGGGGGAUAACGUAGCGAAAGUUACGCUAAUACCGCAUAUUCUGUGAGCAGGAAAGCAGGGGAUCGCAAGACCUUGCGCUGAUUGAGCGGCCGAUGUCAGAUUAGCUAGUUGGUGAGGUAAAGGCUCACCAAGGCGACGAUCUGUAGCGGGUCUGAGAGGAUGAUCCGCCACACUGGAACUGAGACACGGUCCAGACUCCUACGGGAGGCAGCAGUGGGGAAUUUUGGACAAUGGGGGCAACCCUGAUCCAGCCAUGCCGCGUGAGUGAAGAAGGCCUUCGGGUUGUAAAACUCUUUUCUGAGGGAAGAACCGCCGGAGCAGGAAAUAGGCUUCGGCCUGACGGUACCUCAGGAAUAAGCAACGGCUAACCCUCGUGCCAGCAGCCGAC